RNAcentral lists this long non-coding RNA (1155 nucleotides) under Homo sapiens (human). Its description in RNAcentral is "HSALNT0126357". The record is from RNAcentral. Lineage: Eukaryota; Metazoa; Chordata; Mammalia; Primates; Hominidae.
AACCCGGGAGGUGGAGCUGACUCUAUUCCCAAAUCAGGAUUUUCAUCAAGGUAAAAAUCUAGGCUGGGCUGGGUGGCUCCAGCCUGUAACCUCAGCACUCUGGGAGGCCGAGGUGGGCAGAUUGUUUGAGCUUGGGAGUUCAAGACCAUCCUGGACAACAGGGUGAAACAUCGUCUCUACCAAAAAUACAAAAAAUUAGACAACCGUGGUGGCGUGCACCAAUAGUCCCAGAUACUUGGGAGGCUGAGAUCAGAGAAUCACUCGAACCCGGGAGGUGGAGGUUGCAGUGAGCCGAGAUUAUGCCACUGUACUCUAGCCUGGGUGACAGAGUGAGACUCUGUUUCCAAAAAAAAAAAAAAAAAAAAAAAAGUAGGGCUUAAAUUGGGAGAGUGACAUGAUAUCAGAUCAUUACACUUGCGAAAAUCAUUACACUUGCGAAAAGAUGAGCGUCAUCAAUACUUAGUGUUGGCAGAGAUUUCAAACAAAGAAUUCUCUCAUAUGUGCUGGCGGGAAUGGAAGUUGUACAAACACCAAGGAAACCCCAGCACCAGCAAUGGACUCACCCACACCCCAUGACCCAGCAGCUCCACUCCUGGUGACUGUUCUAGAGAGGUGUGUGUGUGCAGGAACGUUCAUCACAAUGUUCACAGUGGUGCUGGAAGGACCCAAGUGUCCACCAGCAGGAGAAAUGAACAAAUGCACUGUGGCAUAUUCUUUUUUUUCUUUUUCUUUUUUUUGAGACAGAGUCUCACUCUGUCACCCAGGCUGGAGUGCGGUGGCGCAAUCUCGGCUCACUGCAACCUCUGCCUCCUGGAUUCAAGUGAUUCUCCCACCUCAGCCUACCGAGUAGCUGGGACUACAGGUGUGUGCCACCACACCCAGCUAUUUUUUUUUUUUUUUUUGAGACGGAGUCUCACUCUUGUAGCCCAGGCUAGAGUGCAAAUGGCAUGAUCUUUGCUCACUGCAAGCGCUGCCUCCUGGGUUCACGCCAUUCUCCUGCCUCAGCCUCCUGAGUAGCUGGGAAUACAGGUGCCCGCAACCAUGCCUGGCUAAUUUUUUGUAUUUUUAGCAGAGACAGGGUCUUAGCCAGGAUGGUCUUGAUUUCCUGAUCUCGUGAUCCACCCUCUUUGGCCUCCCAAAGUGCUGGGAUUACAG